Molecule: ribosomal RNA, 326 nt
Filed under: Aphyosemion riggenbachi
Lineage: Eukaryota; Metazoa; Chordata; Actinopteri; Cyprinodontiformes; Nothobranchiidae
Description: partial 12S ribosomal RNA
Rfam family: Bacterial small subunit ribosomal RNA
Source: RNAcentral
UUCGCCAGGGAACUACGAGCAUAAGCUUAAAACCCAAAGGACUUGGCGGUGCUUUAGACCCCCCUAGAGGAGCCUGUUCUAUAACCGAUAAUCCCCGUUAGACCUCACCUUUUCUUGUUAUUUCCGCCUAUAUACCGCCGUCGUCAGCUUACCCUGUGAAGGCUGCUCAGUAAGCAAGAUCGAUUUUAUCCAAAACGUCAGGUCGAGGUGUAGCAUAUGAAAAGGAAAGAAAUGGGCUACAUUUUCUAAUCUAGAAAAUAACGGAAAUUGCCAUGAAAUAGUAUAUUCAAGGAGGAUUUAGCAGUAAGCAGAGAAUAGAGAGCUCC